RNAcentral lists this ribosomal RNA (797 nucleotides) under uncultured bacterium. Its description in RNAcentral is "bacterial SSU rRNA". It matches the Rfam family "Bacterial small subunit ribosomal RNA", at positions 65 to 833 of the family's 1533-position model. The record is from RNAcentral.
AGCGGAACUAACAGAUUUGCUUCGGUAAUGACGUUAGGAAAGCGGGCGGCGGAUGGGUGAGUAACACGUGGGGAAUCUGCCCCAUAGUCUGGGAUACCACUUGGAAACAGGUGCUAAUACCGGAUAAGAAAGCAGAUCGCAUGAUCAGCUUUUAAAAGGCGGCGUAAGCUGUCGCUAUGGGAUGGCCCCGCGGUGCAUUAGCUAGUUGGUAAGGUAAAGGCUUACCAAAGCGAUGAUGCAUAGCCGAGUUGAGAGACUGAUCGGCCACAUUGGGACUGAGACACGGCCCAAACUCCUACGGGAGGCAGCAGUAGGGAAUCUUCCACAAUGGACGCAAGUCUGAUGGAGCAACGCCGCGUGAGUGAAGAAGGUUUUCGGAUCGUAAAGCUCUGUUGUUGGUGAAGAAGGAUAGAGGUAGUAACUGGCCUUUAUUUGACGGUAAUCAACCAGAAAGUCACGGCUAACUACGUGCCAGCAGCCGCGGUAAUACGUAGGUGGCAAGCGUUGUCCGGAUUUAUUGGGCGUAAAGCGAGCGCAGGCGGAAGAAUAAGUCUGAUGUGAAAGCCCUCGGCUUAACCGAGGAACUGCAUCGGAAACUGUUUUUCUUGAGUGCAGAAGAGGAGAGUGGAACUCCAUGUGUAGCGGUGGAAUGCGUAGAUAUAUGGAAGAACACCAGUGGCGAAGGCGGCUCUCUGGUCUGCAACUGACGCUGAGGCUCGAAAGCAUGGGUAGCGAACAGGAUUAGAUACCCUGGUAGUCCAUGCCGUAAACGAUGAGUGCUAAGUGUUGGGAGGUUU